This 615-nucleotide ribosomal RNA is filed under the name Triticum aestivum (bread wheat). RNAcentral describes it as "partial small subunit ribosomal RNA". Lineage: Eukaryota; Viridiplantae; Streptophyta; Magnoliopsida; Poales; Poaceae. The record is from RNAcentral.
AUGGCGGAGGAACCGUCCACCAAGCGUCACCAUGGCGAGACGUCGAACAAGAGCAGCAACCUCGUCGACAUUCACGUCCCCGGCGAGAAGCGCGAGUACACCAGAACGCUCAAAGGGGUUGAGCUCCAUGGCAAGGAGACGCUGGAGAUCGUCUACACCAGCAUACUGGACAAGGCCGACGAGGUGAUGAGCAGGCUCAGGAUGAAGGGCGGCGGCUUGUAUCCGAGCUUCAUCGGAGUUGAUGUGGAGACCAAGCGCCUCAAAGACUUCCUGCAGGAGGAGAAAUUGUACACAUUUGUUGGUUUCAGCAUUGGUGGUGACAAGCAGAUGCUGGACAAGUCUAGUUUGGAGAUCAACCCCAACAACUUCAUCGACAUGCAGUGCAAGUGGAAAGAUCCAAACACCGACAAAUACUACGACUCCUUGGUCGAUGUUGCAGGCGGCGUCAUCCACCCAUUCUACGACGGCAUGAAGAAGAAGAUGGACAGGGCAGACCACAAACUGUGGGGGACCAGCCCGCUGCCAGACAACCUCAUCACGUACGCAGGAAUAGAUGCGUACGCAACGUACAAGUCAUGGAAGACAAUCGACAACAUCGUGACAGGUUGGGAUAUU